CUCUAUGAGAUGUGCGAAUCAAGGUUUACAAACAUGGAUACAAGGUUCUCUACUAUGGAUGAACAAAUUGAUGAAGUUUAGAGGCAGAUUUUGGAACUACAAUUUCAAAGGGAGGAUAACCCUUCUUUUUAGCUCUUUUGGACAAAACAUCUCUACUCUGGAUGUUGUUUUUAAUCCUACCUUUUGUCUUUUCGAUGAGACAAAUAGGGGGAAAAGUGUUUGGGAAGUUGUAAUUUGUUCUUAAUUAUGUGUUUACUAAUUUU
RNAcentral lists this long non-coding RNA (263 nucleotides) under Phaseolus vulgaris (common bean). Its description in RNAcentral is "long non-coding RNA (PVUL_LNC000737)". The record is from RNAcentral. Lineage: Eukaryota; Viridiplantae; Streptophyta; Magnoliopsida; Fabales; Fabaceae.